Molecule: long non-coding RNA, 587 nt
Filed under: Sus scrofa (pig)
Lineage: Eukaryota; Metazoa; Chordata; Mammalia; Artiodactyla; Suidae
Description: lncRNA (ENSSSCG00015058597.1, ENSSSCG00060020086.1)
Source: RNAcentral
UUGGGCUUCUUGUCAGGGAACCCAAGUCUCCUCUCUCUUUAAGCUGCGACCGGCUCCACGCAGGACGUGGAGCGCUGUCGCGGACAUACCCCGACAAGUAGUGACCCCAACGUGAUCAAAGUCCGACGUGACAGAAGUGCGAGUCUACACAACGGAGCUGCAACUGCAGAAGGAGGAAAAAUAGAGCGCGCCAGGAGACUCAAGGAUCCCACCAGGACGGUACGGGACAGUGGACCUAUAUUAGACUCCACUGGUGCGGGAAUAACUCAAUAGAGAGGACAUGGGGAAUACUCUCCAGCCAGAGCAGAAGCAACAUAUUCAGUUUCUGCAAUGUGGAGUGCCAUCCUAAGAUCUCUCGACUCCACAUUUUUUGAAAACUUCUGAAGCAGGAACUCCUCUAGAAGAGAAGCAGGAGUGGUCAACAUCUUCCAUGUUCACAGGGUCAACAAAGGAAACUGCUGUUUUCCAGAUGGAGUACACAACCUAUUCUUAAGCCAUUCUCCCACAUGAUUUGGACCAGCUAAAUAAUGAUGUAGGGAUAUGACUGAAGCAAUGGUUUGAAAGACACGUGACACUAAUAACAAUUC